This 450-nucleotide ribosomal RNA is filed under the name uncultured bacterium. Its description in RNAcentral is "partial 16S ribosomal RNA". It matches the Rfam family "Bacterial small subunit ribosomal RNA", at positions 354 to 796 of the family's 1533-position model. The record is from RNAcentral.
GUGGGGAAUUUUGGACAAUGGGCGCAAGCCUGAUCCAGCAAUGCCGCGUGCAGGAAGAAGGCCUUCGGGUUGUAAACUGCUUUUGUACGGAACGAAAAGGCUCUGGUUAAUACCUGGGGCUCAUGACGGUACCGUAAGAAUAAGCACCGGCUAACUACGUGCCAGCAGCCGCGGUAAUACGUAGGGUGCAAGCGUUAAUCGGAAUUACUGGGCGUAAAGCGUGCGCAGGCGGUUUUGUAAGACAGACGUGAAAUCCCCGGGCUCAACCUGGGAAUUGCGCUUGUGACUGCAAGGCUGGAGUGCGGCAGAGGGGGAUGGAAUUCCGCGUGUAGCAGUGAAAUGCGUAGAUAUGCGGAGGAACACCGAUGGCGAAGGCAAUCCCCUGGGCCUGCACUGACGCUCAUGCACGAAAGCGUGGGGAGCAAACAGGAUUAGAUACCCCUGUAGUCC